GUGUCAUAGGAAAGAUCAGGACAGCCCUCUUCUUAACAGGGAUGGAAGAGGCUCUUGUAGCCCAUACAGCACAUACACAGUUAAGGCAUUGCUGCCUGCUCGUGGUUUCUGUUUUCA
Molecule: non-coding RNA, 117 nt
Filed under: Prolemur simus (greater bamboo lemur)
Lineage: Eukaryota; Metazoa; Chordata; Mammalia; Primates; Lemuridae
Source: RNAcentral